This 1403-nucleotide long non-coding RNA is filed under the name Rhinolophus ferrumequinum (greater horseshoe bat). Its description in RNAcentral is "lncRNA (ENSRFEG00010019827.1)". The record is from RNAcentral. Lineage: Eukaryota; Metazoa; Chordata; Mammalia; Chiroptera; Rhinolophidae.
CUUGGCCAAACUCCGCUCGCGGCCAAGUUGGCCACCUUCGUGGUGGGGGCUGUCGCGCACCCAGGCGCCUCGGGCCGUGGGGAGCUUCGGAGCCUUCGCGGCUCCCCGGACGCGUGCGGAGCCUGAAGCCGGAGGGUCGGGAGGGCCCCGCGGCGGACCCCGCAAAGCCAGCGGGGGAGCCACGGUGAGGCAGCGCCCGGGCGGGCGUGCGGGGACGCUGGAGCGGUGCUCAGCACACAGCCUGGGGCCCUGAGGAUUGGUUAGGGCGCCCAUGAGGGGAUCCCCAAAGUUCCGAGGGACCCUUCUCCACCCCUCCAGGGACGGGAAAGGACAGCGGGCUCAGCGUGAGCUGGAAACGAAGGACAAGCUGCCCGUAUAAGGUGGAGCUGAGUCCUCGUGGCCCCAGGGGCCACUGAAGGGUAGAGGCGCAGGUGUAGAGCGCCAACCAGGAAUGUUUCCGGAGUGGCCCACGUCCUGCCAAGGAUGGCGAGUCCCCGGGGCACGGAGCAAAGCGCACCCUGGCGGCGUCGGUGUGCACUGACACCCAGGGCCUCUUGGCGUCCCUCCUGGUGUUGGCGGCGACAGCCCAGGCGGGGGUUUGGUCCCUCAGAGCCUCCCUGGCGCGGACCCCAGGCUUCCCAAGAGUCAGGGAGGAGGACUCUGGUGGCAGCUUUUUCUACAAUGUCAUGGUCUAUGGUGGAGACCUAGACACGGUCUAUGGUGAGGACCAAUGCCAGAGUCAAGGUGCCAGGGGCCAUGGUGGCAUGGCAGAGUGAAUCUCCUGUGGAGCCCCUGUGUGGGGACAGAGUCCCCGAGAGUAGUUUCCAGGCUCUUGGUCUCAGGUGGAAAGGUGCUGGCUCGGGUAAUAGAUGGCCAUCCGCUGUGACUGGUUGGCCAUCAGCUGUAACCAGUUAGCCAAUUAGCCACUGAUAUAACUGCCCUGUCGGCGUUGGUUGGUUGCUUGGUUGGUUGGCUGGCAGAGAAGCGGACCUGCAGAUUGGGAUCAUGUGGCUCCUGCUUCCUGUGUCUCCAACCCAGCGGCCAGCGAGAAUAUAGUGGUAUGACUCCCCUAUCUAUGGCUCCGUGGGUGUUCCUUUUUGGCCUCACCAUAUCCUGCAUUCUUAUGUGGGGAGCGGGACCAGAGACCCCGCAUGACACCCUGCUUGGGACCUGCCUCUAAUUUGGAGACUUGGCCGGCGUGAGUGAAGCCUCCUCCUUUGUGCUCAGCAACUGCAGAAGCUGGUGAGUAUGCACUUCUCCUGCUCCUUUCUGUCUGUGGCCCUUGCCUGGGCCUCAGAAGCCAGUUACCUAGUGUCCCCUUGGAGGGCAAGGCCUGCACUGAGGACUGCCUCUGCUUAGGGAAGACUGGGCAUCUACUCAGGGGGCUGGCUGGAAGGCAAGUU